Molecule: ribosomal RNA, 379 nt
Filed under: uncultured bacterium
Lineage: Bacteria
Description: bacterial SSU rRNA
Rfam family: Bacterial small subunit ribosomal RNA
Source: RNAcentral
AACGAACGCUGGCGGCAGGCCUAAUACAUGCAAGUCGAGCGGUAAGGCCCUUUCGGGGGUACACGAGCGGCGAACGGGUGAGUAACACGUGGGUGACCUGCCCUCAGCUCUGGGAUAAGCCUGGGAAACCGGGUCUAAUACCGGAUAUGACUCCAUGACGCAUGUUGUGGGGUGGAAAGCCUUGUGCGGCUGAGGAUGGGCCCGCGGCCUAUCAGCUUGUUGGUGGGGUGAUGGCCUACCAAGGCGACGACGGUAGCCGGCCUGAGAGGGCGACCGGCCACACUGGGACUGAGACACGGCCCAGACUCCUACGGGAGGCAGCAGUGGGGAAUCUUGCGCAAUGGGCGAAAGCCUGACGCAGCGACGCCGCGUGAGGGAU